AUGAAGGUGGGCAGCAUGGUGUUCACAGUUGCUCUUGUGUUCAUCGGGUGCCUACUCAUGGUUGGACAAUGUCGUCCUGAGCCCAAGAGCACCUAUGAAGAUGGCCAUAGCAACACGACUAUGGUGUUCCAGAGCAAACUUGCCUUGAAAUGGUGUGUCGCAAGGGAUUGUAAGACCAAGCAUGAACCGUCGCUAUUCGCCCCUCGAUGCUUUUGCUGUUUCAAUGCGCAGGGAACACCUUGCUUUAAAUCCAUAGGGGAUUGCCAGAAUCACUGCCCAACUCUUCCACCCGGAAAAUAA
Molecule: ribosomal RNA, 300 nt
Filed under: Triticum aestivum (bread wheat)
Lineage: Eukaryota; Viridiplantae; Streptophyta; Magnoliopsida; Poales; Poaceae
Description: partial small subunit ribosomal RNA
Source: RNAcentral